Molecule: ribosomal RNA, 443 nt
Filed under: uncultured bacterium
Lineage: Bacteria
Description: partial 16S ribosomal RNA
Rfam family: Bacterial small subunit ribosomal RNA
Source: RNAcentral
CCUACGGGAUGCAGCAGUGGGGAAUAUUGGGCAAUGGGCGCAAGCCUGACCCAGCAACGCCGCGUGAAGGAAGGAGGCUUUCGGGUUGUAAACUUCUUUUCUCCGGGACGAAGCAAGUGACGGUACCUGAGGAAUAAGCCACGGCUAACUACGUGCCAGCAGCCGCGGUAAUACGUAGGUGGCAAGCGGUAUCCGGAUUUACUGGGUGUAAAGGGCGUGUAGGCGGGACUGCAAGUAAGAUGUGAAAACCACGGGCACAGCCUGUGGCAUGCAUUUGACACUGUAGUGUGUGAGGAUUGGACAGGCAGAAGGACCUCAGGGUGGGGCGGUGAAAUGCGUAGAGAUUAGGAGGAACACCAGUGGCGAAGGCGGUCUUCUGGACAGCAACUCACGCUGAGGCGCGAAAGCGGGGGGAGCAAACAGGAUUAGAUCCACCGGAAUUC